AGCAAGCAACAGAGCAAACAGUCAAAGGCGAAGUAUCAAUGGGAGAUCAUGAAGGAGUUCGACCUGAAGGACUCCGAA
This 78-nucleotide small nuclear RNA is filed under the name Foraminifera environmental sample. RNAcentral describes it as "partial Dictyostelium signal recognition particle". Lineage: Eukaryota; Foraminifera. The record is from RNAcentral.